Molecule: ribosomal RNA, 497 nt
Filed under: uncultured bacterium
Lineage: Bacteria
Description: partial 16S ribosomal RNA
Rfam family: Bacterial small subunit ribosomal RNA
Source: RNAcentral
GAUGAACGCUGGCGGCGUGCCUAAUACAUGCAAGUCGAGCGAACAGACGAGGAGCUUGCUCCUCUGACGUUAGCGGCGGACGGGUGAGUAACACGUGGAUAACCUACCUAUAAGACUGGGAUAACUUCGGGAAACCGGAGAUAAUACCGGAUAAUAUAUUGAACCGCAUGGUUCAAUAGUGAAAGACGGUUUUGCUGUCACUUAUAGAUGGAUCCGCGCCGCAUUAGCUAGUUGGUAAGGUAACGGCUUACCAAGGCAACGAUGCGUAGCCGACCUGAGAGGGUGAUCAGUCACACUGGAACUGAGACACGGUCCAGACUCCUACGGGAGGCAGCAGUAGGGAAUCUUCCGCAAUGGGCGAAAGCCUGACGGAGCAACGCCGCGUGAGUGAUGAAGGUCUUCGGAUCGUAAAACUCUGUUAUUAGGGAAGAACAAAUGUGUAAGUAACUAUGCACGUCUUGACGGUACCUAAUCAGAAAGCCACGGCUAACUACGUG